GACGAACGCUGGCGGCGUGCUUAACACAUGCAGGUCGAACGGAAAGGCCCUGCUUUUGUGGGGUGCUCGAGUGGCGAACGGGUGAGUAACACGUAAGUAACCUGCCCUUGACUUUGGGAUAACUUCAGGAAACUGGGGCUAAUACCGGAUAGGAGCUCCUGCUGCAUGGUGGGGGUUGGAAAGUUUCGGCGGUUGGGGAUGGACUCGCGGCUUAUCAGCUUGUUGGUGGGGUAGUGGCUUACCAAGGCUUUGACGGGUAGCCGGCCUGAGAGGGUGACCGGCCACAUUGGGACUGAGAUACGGCCCAGACUCCUACGGGAGGCAGCAGUGGGGAAUAUUGCACAAUGGGCGGAAGCCUGAUGCAGCAACGCCGCGUGCGGGAUGACGGCCUUCGGGUUGUAAACCGCUUUCGCCUGUGACGAAGCGUGAGUGACGGUAAUGGGUAAAGAAGCACCGGCUAACUACGUG
Molecule: ribosomal RNA, 468 nt
Filed under: uncultured bacterium
Lineage: Bacteria
Description: partial 16S ribosomal RNA
Rfam family: Bacterial small subunit ribosomal RNA
Source: RNAcentral